RNAcentral lists this transfer RNA (97 nucleotides) under Nocardia cyriacigeorgica. RNAcentral's name for it is "tRNA-Ser(gga)". Lineage: Bacteria; Bacillati; Actinomycetota; Actinomycetes; Mycobacteriales; Nocardiaceae. The record is from RNAcentral.
CGACCUGGUGGCCGGCGCGGUGCUGUGCCUGACGGUGGAAUCGGCGCUGCGCGAGCCCGAGCGCGGCUGGGGCUGGUUCCGCAUCCGGCUGGUCGCC